UUUUAUGAUGACAAAGGGCCAUAGCGCCUGAUCUAAUCCCAGCUCUUCGAGUGCCUCACUAUACAACGCAGAGUGCGCACUGAGAUCAAAAACAUGCUCUGAUUU
RNAcentral lists this small nucleolar RNA (105 nucleotides) under Rosellinia necatrix. RNAcentral's name for it is "A. fumigatus snoRNA Afu_304". It matches the Rfam family "A. fumigatus snoRNA Afu_304". Lineage: Eukaryota; Fungi; Ascomycota; Sordariomycetes; Xylariales; Xylariaceae. The record is from Rfam by way of RNAcentral.